This 532-nucleotide long non-coding RNA is filed under the name Salmo salar (Atlantic salmon). RNAcentral's name for it is "lncRNA (ENSSSAG00000112149.1)". The record is from RNAcentral. Lineage: Eukaryota; Metazoa; Chordata; Actinopteri; Salmoniformes; Salmonidae.
CACACACGCACCGCGUCCACCUGGUCACGAGUCACAGAACCUUCUAUUGAAGUAAAUGACCUGGAGUUCACACAUACCUGUCAGUCAGGAAGAGGAUUGCAGUAAGACAUCUGAUCAAUUUAUAGAAUGCAGUUGGGGCCAUUCCACACAUGGCAAUCAUACCAGGACUGUCACAGGCACCUGAUGUCCAGGACCACACAACCCGUGAUCCUGCUGGCUGGGCCAAGCCUCCACAUUCAAUAAGAAUGGGACUGUUCCCAGGCUCUCUCAUGCAUCUCUAAGCUCUCCAACACAUAACAAUUUACUGGCUGGGAGCAGCAUAGGCAAGGACCAAGAGCUGGGCUAGUGCUCACACCCAUUCCCCAUCCACCACCUCCCCACCCAGGUAGUAUUCCCUCUGGCCUGGCCUGGUCAGCUGGUCUCCUGACCCUGUUUAAUGCUGGUCCAACAACCUGCCAGAUCAGAGACACAGACAGCCAAGGGCGCUAUGAUUACACCAUGCCUCUGACUAGCCUACGUCCUGCUUCAUCUC